UAUACUAUUAAAGCAACUUAUAUCAAAGCAACAUAUAAUGUAAUAGUAGCAUCUUAGAAUUAAAUUUAAUUAAAAAUGAUCCCACUGUUUCACAAAAAGAAGAAUAUAUAUUAGCUGUCAAAAUCAUUGGAAUAAUUCUAGGUCUUCAUUAAUACUUGAAUUAGUUUGCUCCAUGUUCUCAUUCAAGCAGGCUGUAAAAGAGAACAAAGUAGUUGUGAGAAGUUGAAUUAGUUAGAUACCAUAAGUCUUUGACUAGCCCUUUUAAAAAAACAGUAUAAUUGGCAUUUGAAAAUAAAUAAAAGUCAAAUAAUUCUAUGGCGAACUUGUAUAGAACAAACUUGAUAAUUCUUGCAAAACACAUGUAAACUUAAAAAUGAUUUAUCUUAUCUCUCUUUUUUUUUCGCAAAAUGUUACGUACAAAUCAUUUUCUGCUAAUUUUUUCGUGAAUUACUUUUUUUGAUUGGGCUUUAGAGUAAAAAACAUUUGUGAAUCUUGUGCGACUGGAAUGAAAUAAAACAUUUUUUUUCGGAAUAUAGUUUAUUCAAAGGAAUUUGUUGAUCUAUAGUAAACUUGUGAUAUGUUUGUGUUUAAUUGAGUGUUAUUUAUAGUAAAUUAAAGUGAGCUAAAUGAAAUAUGUUCUAUCAAUUAGAUUCAUUAAUUAUGAAAUAUCAAGAGUUAUCAUAAUUAUAUUAAUUAUUAAUUAAAUAUAUUGUAUUUUACUAGAAAAUUUGUGUAAAAAAACAUUUUAAACUACUGAAUUAGUAAAGUUGGACUACUGAGUUAACUUAGGACCAACCAAAACGAUUCGGUGUUUGUUAGAUGGAGGGACUAACAAUGUAUCAAAUGCAACUUUUUUGUUAUAGAGAAGGGAGAAAUUAAAGUGCAUUUGCACUAUUAAAUUAAUAGAAAGAUAAUUGUGCAGCUGGAAAGAUUUGAACCCAAGACCUUGCACACCCAAAAUUCUAAUACUAUGUUAUAACUCAUCUAAAAACUUAAAUUGUUAGAUGGAGAGACUAACAAUAUAUAUCAUUCUAACAAUUAUAUAUGUUCAAAAGUAAGAGCAAUGAUGAUAAAGCGUAGAGCUAAAAAACAAUUUCCAUUAAAAUAAUUUGGUGGUUUCAAUUCAACGUACCAAUAGGCAAUAGUCAAGGAUGUAGGUACAAGAAAACCGAAUCAAAAGUGUUCCAAAUGUUACAUUAAUCCUAGUGAGAAUAAAUUUGGUAUAAAAUAAUUCAGACACCAAACACCAUCCAUUAAUUCCAAAAUAGAGAAUAACACGUGAGAUGCAAAUGCAAAUGCAAAUGUCACGUAAAGGUAGAAUUAGGGGUGCUCAUGGAUAAAAAACUAAAUUGGUAUCAAAAAUAUCGAACCGGUACCGAUCUAAAAUUACUAAAAAAAAUAAGAAUUGGAACCGGUACCGAAUUAUCAGUUCGGUACAAAAUUGAUACCGAUUUUUUCGGUUUAUACCGCAUGAUAAUAUAUAUAAUUAUUAAUAAUAAUUAAAUAAAUUUUUUAUAUAUUAACAAUUUUUUUAAAACUAAAAAAUCGUUAACUAUUAAUAAUAAUUAAUAUAUAAAAUAAAACUACAAAACAUUAUUAAUAUAUAUAUAUUUUUUAAAAUAAAACUACUAUUAUAUAGAAAUUAUUAAUAUAUAUAAAAAAAUUAUUUAAUAUAUAAAACUACAAAACAUUAACUAUUAAUUAUUAUAUUAUUAAAUUUCGGUAUUUUCGAAAUUUCAAAUUUUACCGAAUUCAAAAAAAUCAUUACUGGUACCAGUAGUGGCGAAGCCAGGAAUUUUUGUCAGUGGGGUCGAAAUUAUUACUAGUUACAAAUAAUUUGGCGAGGGUUCGGGGGCCGCGUCCCAGAGACAAUUUUUUUUUUAUACUUUAUACUUUAUACUUUCGAGUAUAUAUAUAUAUAUACUAUAUUACAAUAAAAAUAUAAUGAGUAAUAAUAUAUGGUAUAUAUACACUAUAUUGACUCAUACUAGACUUUUUUAAUCACAACUAUUCAUAAGUAAGUAAUUCAUUAUUUAUUUUUAAAAAUAAUAUAAAUUAGAUUAUUAUUUAGUUUAAAAUAUUAUAGAGAAAUACAUAUAUUAAGAGGAUGAGUCAUAUGUGAUUAAAAUUUAAUUGACAAAAUUAUAAAUUUUCAAUUUGCCCCCAUAUAAUAGAAAAUUUAUAAAAUUUUAGUGGGGUCAAUUUAUAUAUAAUACUUAAAAAUUUUAAAAUUUACCUUACCUUAUAAAACAAAAUUUUUUUUCAGUGGGGGCGAUUGACCUCAUAGAAGUCUAUGUCGCUUCGCCACUGGGUACCAAUAUCGAAAAGUAUUAAAAUAUAAAAAAAUCGAUACCAAAAAAACCGAUACCAUCGAUACCAAUAUCAACCGAUUCGAUAAAAAACCGAGAAAACCCAAAAAUUUAGAGCAGCCCCAGGUAGAACCUACUUAUUAUUGGGAAGGUAGAACCAACUUCUUAUUGGGAAGGUGUUUGGAGCGUAGAGACUAUUAUUAACAAAUAACAAAUGCACCCACCUAGCUCCCACUACCACUAGGCACUAGGACUCCUAUUUUAUAAGCCACUUGGUCUCCUUCAAUAUUUCUUCUCCCAACAAACCCCAUAACUCUGAUCUCCCUAAGCUAAGCUAAUUCUCCGUACGUGUGAUCACCGGCAGCAUCACCAUCACCAUCACCAUCACCAUCACCAUAACCAUGGUUCUAUCCAAAACUACGUCGGAGUCCGAUGUCUCCGUCCACUCAACGUUCGCUUCCCGAUACGUUCGGACCAGCCUUCCCAGGUGAUCAUCGGUUGAUCUAUCUAGCUAUAUAUAAGAUCACUCGUCUUUGUAAUGUCUUUUUUUUUUUAAUUUAUAAUUUAUUGGAGUAUAUAUAUAUGUAUGUAUAUGUUUCUUGAUCAGGUUUAAGAUGGGUGAGAAUUCGAUACCAAAAGAAGCGGCGUACCAGAUAAUAAACGACGAGCU
RNAcentral lists this long non-coding RNA (2979 nucleotides) under Panax ginseng (ginseng). RNAcentral's name for it is "long non-coding RNA (PGIN_LNC017734)". Lineage: Eukaryota; Viridiplantae; Streptophyta; Magnoliopsida; Apiales; Araliaceae. The record is from RNAcentral.